CGCUGCGGCGUGCCUAAUACAUGCAAGUCGAGCGGACUUUUAAAAGCUUGCUUUUAAAAGUUAGCGGCGGACGGGUGAGUAACACGUGGGCAACCUGCCUGUAAGACUGGGAUAACUCCGGGAAACCGGGGCUAAUACCGGAUAAUUCAUUUCCUCUCAUGAGGGAAUGCUGAAAGACGGUUUCGGCUGUCACUUACAGAUGGGCCCGCGGCGCAUUAGCUAGUUGGUGAGGUAACGGCUCACCAAGGCCACGAUGCGUAGCCGACCUGAGAGGGUGAUCGGCCACACUGGGACUGAGACACGGCCCAGACUCCUACGGGAGGCAGCAGUAGGGAAUCUUCCGCAAUGGACGAAAGUCUGACGGAGCAACGCCGCGUGAGCGAUGAAGGCCUUCGGGUCGUAAAGCUCUGUUGUUAGGGAAGAACAAGUACCGGAGUAACUGCCGGUACCUUGACGGUACCUAACCAGAAAGCCACGGC
RNAcentral lists this ribosomal RNA (479 nucleotides) under bacterium mgm14. RNAcentral's name for it is "bacterial SSU rRNA". It matches the Rfam family "Bacterial small subunit ribosomal RNA", at positions 39 to 497 of the family's 1533-position model. The record is from RNAcentral.